This 1030-nucleotide long non-coding RNA is filed under the name Podarcis muralis (Common wall lizard). RNAcentral describes it as "lncRNA (ENSPMRG00000007266.1)". The record is from RNAcentral. Lineage: Eukaryota; Metazoa; Chordata; Lepidosauria; Squamata; Lacertidae.
CUGUAUCCUUACAAAGUCCAUUUAGGAAAGGAUGAGAUCAGCAGUCAGGCAAAUGGAAGAAGAGUCUGAUAUUCAUGAAGCCAAUUCUGUAUGAACACUGGCAAGGAGGCCUGCUAAGAAAAUAUCCAAGACCAAGGUUGAAUUGAUCUGGACAGAUGGACACAGGGCUUCUAGUCAAUUUGAAGGUUGGGCUGAGGACCAGACAAGGCCUGGGAGUGCCUGCAUGGGCAGCAAACAAUAGAGAAGGGUGAUCUCCAGCAGCUGCUGAUUGUGCCGGAUCCAGCAGCUGCAGCCCACUAUUGUCAGCAUUACAUGCCUGAUUGCGACAGACAGCUCACCUACGUGUUGCACGCCCAGGAUCCCGAAGAGAACAUUCCCCGCAGGAAGGGCAAGAAGGGCAAGGGCAAGAGAAAGGGCAAGGGCAAGAGGAAAGGGAGAGGCAAGAAGAAGAGGAACAAGGAGUCGCCGGAGACGUCCUCGCUCACUCCGGCCCCCGGCCAGUAUGAGAUUCCAACUCGAGCUACACCUACAAAGGCAGCCACUGAGUCCUGGGAAGAGAAUCCUGGAGUUAUUACUGCAACCACUGUCGCAGUUGGCUUUAACCUCACAGACAACUAUGAGGACCUUUUUGGAGAACAGUACGAGAUUGGUGAGGACUCAGACCUGGAUGCCAAUGGCACUUACAGAGCAUACGAGGAGAGACUUGACUACAGAGACAGGGAAUAUGAGGACUACUAUGACCGAAGGGAUGCGAAUGAGGAAGAGCGGUAUGAUCCGGCUGAGCGCAGUGAAGACACCCUCCAGCUCCCCCCGGAAAAGAAUCUGAAAGGAGAGAAAGGGGAGCCAGCCAUCAUAGAGCCAGUGAGUAUGGUACAUGUUCUGUAGUGGCACUGGUGCUCCUCCAUCAGUAUGACUAGGGGCUGAAAGCCACUUGGUGAUGGGGUGGAAGGGGGUGGAAGAUACCAGCAAUAAGUUAUGGGAAGGUUUUUGGGUGUGUGGCAGGCUGUCAGUAGUAAAUAUGGGAGACAGU